ACGCACGCUGGCGGCGUGCCUAAUACAUGCAAGUAGCACGCUGAAGGCGGAGCUUGCUUCUCUGGAUGAGUUGCGAACGGGUGAGUAACGCGUAGGUAACCUGCCUGGUAGCGGGGGAUAACUAUUGGAAACGAUAGCUAAUACCGCAUAAUAGUAGAUGUUGCAUGACAUUUGCUUAAAAGGUGCAAUUGCAUCACUACCAGAUGGACCUGCGUUGUAUUAGCUAGUUGGUGGGGUAACGGCUCACCAAGGCGACGAUACAUAGCCGACCUGAGAGGGUGAUCGGCCACACUGGGACUGAGACACGGCCCAGACUCCUACGGGAGGCAGCAGUAGGGAAUCUUCGGCAAUGGACGGAAGUCUGACCGAGCAACGCCGCGUGAGUGAAGAAGGUUUUCGGAUCGUAAAGCUCUGUUGUAAGAGAAGAACGAGUGUGAGAGUGGAAAGUUCACACUGUGACGGUAGCUUACCAGAAAGAGACGGCUAACUACGUG
This 494-nucleotide ribosomal RNA is filed under the name uncultured bacterium. RNAcentral describes it as "partial 16S ribosomal RNA". It matches the Rfam family "Bacterial small subunit ribosomal RNA", at positions 29 to 507 of the family's 1533-position model. The record is from RNAcentral.